CCCUGUGAUUAAGCAUAUUGCAAAUAAUUAUUGGUAUCAUCAUUAAAAUAACUAUUUUCUGUAUCAUCAUUUUACAGGCGUGUAUCUAUUUAGCAGACCACAGCAGCUUGCCCAAGCUAAUAGUGUAAGAUACAGAAUUAUGUUGCUUGCAUCAGUUGGGAAUUUCAUGGAAUCUGCUUCUAUUUGACUGUAUUUCCAGAUGGAACCAUGUGCCUAAGUGUUUGUUUUAGGCCUCCAAGAAGUCAUUCCUUUGCAAUGAUCUGUAGCCAGACUGCUCUCCCCUGAGACCAACCUGUGUGACUAAUUUGAGUAAGAGUGUGAUAAACUUUGUCACCACUUAAGAAGAGGCUAAAAAUACUUCCUUUUUUAUUGUUUUCUUUUCCCCCUCCACAUUAUCUAGCAGCACUUUUUGAGGGAUAAUCAAAAGGAGGUGGUGAAGAUGAGAGCUGAUGGGGAAGGUUCUAAAUACCCAAGCUUCAUUUCGGAAGCUUCACACCUUUGAGCCCCCGGGAACAGUUUUGACCCCAGGCUUUUACAGGUUUUGCUGUAAAAUCCGAGCUGCCCAGAACACUUUGUGGCUAAUGGCUUUAGCAGAAGUGACUUUACAGCUAGAGAUGGCCAUCAACCAGGCUUGUCCCAGAUCUAAAAAGGAUGGUUAAUUUGACUUAUUGUGCCAGCUAAAGAUUUCUAAAAAGUAUUUCUCAUUCGGUUAUAGUCUUGUGAUCCAAACACAGUAAAAUGGAGGGAGGGCUUCCCUAAAAGGUGGAGCAGACAGACGUGGUUUGGAGAUGGGGGCAUAUACCGAACUGGGCGCUGCCCAGGGAGUCUUGUCUUAACUUUGUUCUUGACUCACCGAGGAACCUUGGGCAAGUCACAACUUCAUUGUCCUGUGUUUCCUUAACUUUAACGUGGAAGGAUGGAUCACCUCUUUAGUUUUUAAACCUCCCUCUUAUAUCCUCUUCCCCAACAGUGGGGCCUUUUUUUCCGAGUAACAUUUUUGCAGAACUCCAAUAUAUAAAACAGAUAUAAGCGGAGAUGUUUCGUUAAUGGAGGGUCCAGGGAAAAUCCCUCCCUGGCCUCAGGGCUGGCCUCCGAGACACUUCUACUUUCAUCUUGCUUUCAGAGCUCCUUGCCCUCUGUGGCAUUCUAUAAUUCUUAUGAAUGUGAAUUGAACAAUAUUAAUAUCCGUGGGAUUUUUUUUUCUCACUCAGUGCUCACAUCGGGGAGGAAAAAAAAAAAAGAGUCUGAAAUUUCAGCAUGAUUUACGUUAGUAGAAGUAUAAUUCAUUGUAUUAAAGAUGAGUACAGGUCUAACAUACAGCUAUUAGAAGUUAUGGAAAUUCAUGCAGUGCCCGUUUUGGCUCAGUGGUAAUGAACCCAGCUAGUAUCCAUGAGGAUGUGGAUUUGAUCGAUCCCUUGGCUCAGUAGGUUAAGGAUCCAGCAUCAGCAUGAGCUGUGGUGUAGGUCGCAAACGCAGCUCAGAUCCUGCAUGGCUGUGGCUGUGGCAUAGGCUGGCAGCUGUAGCUUCGAUUUGACCCAUAGCCUGGGAACCUCCAUAUGCCACAGAUGCAGCCCCAAAAAGUGGAAGAAAGAAAAGAAGAAGUAGUUAUGGAAAUUCACAAUGCAAACCCUCUUCUUUUGCCCCAGAAUGCAUGGAGCAAGAAUGCAGAAGGGUAAAUAAAUGAUAAGCCUUCAGCCAUUAGCUCGCCCCUCCUAUACAUUUCCCAUCUCCUCCUCAGGUGCAGCUCUUCUUUCUUCUCCUCUCUCAAAUGCUAGAUUACUGCAGAGCUUAGAAUUUUGGCCCCAGAAGGGCUUUUCUUGGUUCCCUGUCCCUCUGUUUCUCUCUUAUGGGAACCAUGUCUGAAGUAGUCUGAUUUCUAUCCAUCGUCUCAGCUGAGACCUUACAGAUUCACUCCCAAACCGUUGCAUAGGAUUAAAUUCUGAGCCUCCCAGGAAAAUUUUCAGAAAGCUUCCUUUGCAGUUGUUAAUUGUAAAAUAAACAGGGAGCAGAGUGUCCUUCUCCUUUGGUGGGCUUCCCUCUAGCAAUGCAGGAGGUGCCGGGACCAGAUUUACACCCACAAUUCCAGACCAGUUCAGGGCUCCCACUUUGUUUUCCUGGUGUGUGGCAUUUUUGCCAACCCAGGUCCCAAUGGCUAAUUGUUCCAGCCUUUUCUGAGCCGUGGUCUUUCCCCGCCAGCAGUUUUUCCAUUGAUGAUUAGAACUGUCCCUCUGAGGCAGAAUGACUCCCCCAAAAUACUAAUAGCAAACACUGUCUAGCAUUUUCUGUCAGCCAGACCCUGUCCUUAGCACUUUACACGUGUCAACUCAUUUGGGCUCUUUGAGAAUGGCCAGACCAAGGCCCGAGUGACAGGGUAGGUACAGAGUUUCCAGAAUCCUUCUUGGCUUGAUGGGGCCAAAUAACUUGCAGGCGGGCAGGGUGGCCAGAUCCCCAAUGCGUGUCCUUCAACUAAAAUGCACAACUUUGAGAAUUCGGAUUUUUAUUUUUUUUAAAAAACAAACAAAUGAGCCACUUGAGUUGCCUGUGUAUGAAAUGAUUGUUUGGCAGGUGGAGUUAUUAUUAUUCUAUUAUGUUAAAAAUGAUUAACAGGGGCUUAAUUUCAUUCCAAACAGAUUGUGUCAAGGCAGCCGGGCGCUGCAGAAGUAUAGUGAAAUAUGAGAUUCUUGAGCCUUUGGUAGAGGCUGAGCUAGAGACCCCAGUUCGUCCUACCCUUUUCUAAACAGCCACAGCCAUGAAACUUUCUUGACCUUUUCACCUUUAAACUUUGUUUGAACUUGGAAAGAAGACUUUUGAAUUAUAAAAAAGAGAGAGAGAGAAGAAAAAAGAAAGACAGGAGAAAAAAGGUUGGGGGAGGCCGCGGAGGAGAUGCGGAGACUGGGAGAAAAGGACUGAUUAUAUGUUAGCGUAACAGUAAUACUAGGAAAAUAAUCCUCCUCUUGUGUAUGAGUUUCUGCUACUGGGAGCCACAGGGUAAUCAGCUCACAUGACAUACCCAGAGGCUAAUGCUAGCCUGUGCUGUUUUUGAACAUAUUCAAACAAAGGCUGAUUAUCCAAACAAGAAUUUGGGCUGCAGCAGUCGGACCAGUUAAAUUAUAGUUAGUAAAACUUGGCGCCUUAUGAGCGUGGAAUGUUACAAUUGCAGCUGGAUCUUCGUUUGUCAGGCAACCUCACUCAACAAUAAAACCAGAGAUUUUUAUCUCCCGGGGACUCAGUUUAACUCCUUGGGUGCAAAGAGGAAAGUGCCAGCUCCCGCAGCCGGGGCUCCUGGCAACACCCGGCUCUCGGUCCUGCUCGAGUUAAUGAGGCAGGGGCGUUUUCGUGCAGUUCUGGAGGGAAAUGGGAAGUGGGUAAAGGCAAGUUGCUCAUCUUAGAUCUUCUGCUGGAGAGAGACUCACUGCUAUCCGUGUAUUCCUCUAAUCGACAUUUAUUACGUGCUGCUGUGGACCAGGCCCUGUGCUAGAAGCUCUGUUUAUAUACAAAUAGCUACCAUGGAUGGCACAAUGUCGUCAGUUGUUAGAAAGUUACAAGAUAUUAUGAGUAAUAGUGAGGGGGGGAAGGGGAAGAUUAAAAAAAGGCUUUUUGAAGAAGGUAUGAUUUGAACCAAGUUUGAGAGAAAGUAGGCUUGAAUCUUUAAGAGUGCCUCUCUAUUUGUGCAGGGAGAACAGCACAAAUAAAGGAGAAAAGGCAGGAAAAUUGGAGAGUGGCUGUGAAGGGAAAGUAGCAGAAGUGAAGGCUGAACACAUUGAUUGAGACUAAACGUAGAUUGGGAAUGUCAAGCCUACGAGGGUGGCCUUUAAAAGUUAUCUUUUGUUUUUACAUAGCUGUCUUUAAUAAGAUGAGAUAUAUUGAAAAGUUUACUCUCUUUUGGGGGGUGGGGUGACAUUGCUCAUAAUAAUUCUCUGAGGAAAAACUGUGAUUCAGAGAAACUAGUAACUGUCCCAAGAUCACACAGCCCUUAAGCAGCAGAGUCAAGGUUCCAAACCCAGAUUGACUCUAACCCCCUCUCCCCAGCUCUUAACUGCUUUUCUGUUCUGCUCUCUGUGCCUUUUAAAUUUGCAGAGUUUAUGGCUGCAGUGCAGAAUGGAUCAGGCAUAUUUUACACAGAGGCCAGAAUGGAUUAUCGCUGUUCUCGUAUUGGAUGGUUAUAGUGUAAAGAGUCUGUUUACAUGGAUGAUCUGUAUAUCAGAGGCCAAUAUGCAGCUACAACGAUCCCCACUCUGAGUUGGUUUAAGCAUAGCGGUUGUCAUUUACAAGUUCACAUGAGCGAGAGUGUUUCUUCUUGACCAAUCCCAUCAGAAGAAGACAGUCUGCUCUCCUAGUUACCUCUGCCAGCAACUUUAUGGUGGUACAGGGCCGAGUUUGGCAGCCAAGGUCCUAUGCAUUUAUGACAUUGCCUUUUCUGAGAAACGCAUUUGAUACCACGAGUCUGUGCCUCCCCCCUUCCCUGCUUCCGCAGGGCAUCUUCCCCGUGUUCUUAUCCUCUGCUGACCCUGCCACUGUCUUGUUUUCUUUCCUGUCCUCUUUGAUAUACUCUGUUAUUGUAAGCCAGGCUUGUGGCUUCUGGGAGGGGUGAUUGGCAGGGUCAGUCAGACUAAGCGCUGAAAUGUGUGUCCCAGAGGUGGAAGCCAGAUUUCCUCUGCGGGCCCUGAGGCCAACUCCUGUGAUGGCUUCGUGGCUAGAAAUAGCAAAAAUCGAAAUGGAUAUUGCAGAUAGUCCAGACAAGCAAAUAAGAAAUCCAAAUGCUUGGAUACUUCAGAUUUUUAAAUUUACUAGUGGAUAUUUUUAACAAUGGAGGCACCAUAGCCUAUCUUGGUAUCCAUUUUUUCCUAUGUAUAGGAUGGAUUUAACAGUUCUUAAGGCAAAGCCAAAUGCUGAUUUCGUGAACUUAUUUUUGAGAAGCAAAAGCAAGAUUGAAUAAAACGGGUUACCGUACAGGUAGUGGGAGUUAAUUGGCACCAGCGUCCUUAUUUAGCAUGGAUUAAAAGUGAAUUUGGAGAGGAGAUACUAGCUUGAACAGAAUUAUCAUCAAGGAUACAUACCCAAUGGAGUUCCCGUCGUGGCGCAGCAGAAAUGAAUCUGACUAGGAACCAUGAGGUUGCAGCUUUGAUCCCUGGCCUCACUCAGUGGGUUAAGGAUCGGUGUUGCCCUGAGCUGUGGUGUAGGUCACAGACGAGGCUCAGAUCUGGCAUUGCUGUGGCUGUGGUGUAGGCUGGCAGCUGUAGCUCCAAUUGGACCCUUAGCCUGGGAACCUCCAUAUGCCACGGGUGCAGCCCUAAAAAGACAAAAAUAAAAACAAACAAAAAAUACCCAAGAGGAAACCCUAGGUUUGAAAUACUGACUGGAGUGGUACAGAUUUGAGGGUUGGGAUUUGUUGUUGUUGUUGUUGUUGCUUUGGGGUUUUUUUGUUUAGUUUUAUUUUGCUUUGGUUUGUCAUUUCAUUCCAUUUGCAAGGCCUCUAGCAGAUAGCUCUGAAACCUUUGAGAAAACCAUUGAAAUUCUAGAAAUAAGCUUUCCAUACUUUAGGAUGCUUUUGGAAAUUUGGGUGGCUUAAUGAUGAGCAUGUCUUCCCUUCCGAUGUUAAACAUUUGCAUUUUUAUCCGUGGCUCUAAAAUUAAUAUAAAAAGGGAACUGCAUUUACUUUGGGAGAUCAUGUUUCAGGAGUAACAGAGGAUAACAUGCUACCGUUAAGAUCUAGAUCAUGCUAAAAGUAUUAAACUUGGCUUUUGGAGAUUAGGUUUUCCCUACUUAAAAUUAAGAACUUAAAGAUUUUAAUCAAGAUAAUCUUAAAAUGUCUUAAGGUGCAACUUAUUCUGAAGGUGAUACUACUUGGAGUGGUAAAGACCAAAGGAGAAAUUGUGAGUUAAUGUUUACUCUUUCAUUACUAUUUUAAUCAAAUGGCUUUACAGCUUGACUUUUAAAUGUGAAUAUAUUUUUUUUAAAGAACAUUCAGGUAUGUGAAGCCAUAACAGUCGUGUUGGAAUUUCACAGGCCCAAAGGUCUUAUACUUGAGUUUUAAAUAUGUAGAUGAUAAAAAUAUUUUGAUUGGGGUUUUCCGUGAGGGCAAAUGCAUUCUCCUCGUGACCUGCAUUUUGGGGCAAGUAUUUGGAUGUUUGGGAACUAUAACCAUCUCUCCUCAAAUAAUAAUAAUGGUAGUAAUAAUAGUAAUAGCAGCAAGAACUACCAUUUAUGGAAAUAAUAAUAGAAGGAACUACCACUUAUUGAAUGCCUGCUCUGCGAUAGGCCCUUUAUGUGCAUAUUUUCUUAUUCUUACAGCUAUCCUGCCCGUAGACUAGUGUUUUUAUUUUUAAGGGACCUGAGCCUAAAAGAAGGUAAAUGAUAAGGAGAGGCUUUGAACCCAGGAUUUUCUGACCCCAAAGUCCGUAUUCUUUCCACUAUAGCAUGAUAUUAAAAAGGAAUGCAUUGUAGCUGAUGCUCAUUUAAAACCUAACAGUUUUAGCACACAUACCCUAAAAAGUUCCAGAGUGAUCUUAUUCAUCAGACCAGAUUCAUCCCCGGUGUCGUUGAGCCCUGCGACUAAAGGGCUCAUUUCUUUUAAAGUAAACUCAAAAACACCCUGAAGUAUAUGUGAACGAAACCUUUUCCCCAAAAGAAGCAUUCCUAAAAGGUACCCGGGGUGGUUGUUCUUGAGACGGGUUUGGAUGACUCCAAGGGCAAAAAAUAGGUUAGCCGUUUGAUUAGAUUUCAAUCUGCCACUCUGGCUUGGGAAUUUUCCUCCGUUUGGACAGGAGAGGAUUUCUGCCCUGAGAAACCAGCCGCUCCCUGCCCCCCUCCCUCUCACUCCCUCUCCCCUUCUCUUCCUCUUCAGAUUUCAACAUGAAAGCACAAUCCAAUUCGGCUUUCUUUGGGGACCCGCAAUACAGUAGACGCACUGCAUUGAUUCUUGAGAACUUUAUUUACAGUCUCAAGUUUUGGGUGCAUACUACUCCAUCGUCGGAUAUAUCAGGAUUUAUUUGGCCAGUUCUUUAGAAGGUAAGGUCUUUAGAAGACAAAUAAGUUGAUUUUCAGUAGGUUAAAAACAAACAAAAAAGCUAAGGGAAGUCCCUUCAGUCUAUGGAAAUAACAUGAGCAAAGGCAUCAGUUUGGAAACAGGCUGAUUAGAAGUUAGCAAAAACAGGUGUAAAAAGAAUAACAAUAGCUAAAAUUCAAAAGAUUAUUUUUACUUUAGUACCAAAAUUGCCUAAUGCUCACAGACUUCAUUUAUUAUCCAUUUUCCAAAAUGGGCCAUACAAGGAAGGAGCAGUGUUUUUUAAGAUUUAACUCUAACUCCAUAGGAUUUGUCAUUUCACUAUUCAUCUUCCUAAACACAGUGUAGUAGAUGCUAGUUUUAGGCAGUAGUUAAACAAAUACUGCUGAUUGAUAAAAUUGCUUACUUUAAAAAGUGAAAGAGUUGUGUACAUAGCAUCUGAAUAAAAUUGAAUAGCACUGAAUGAAAGAACAACAGGGGAUUGUUAGAGACCUCGGACCACCUACUCAUGAGGGCCCCUCUUCAGGGUCUCGGUCUACUCUUUGUGGACUCAAAGGCAGGAAGGCCUCCUCUGACAUGUGGACCCUGUAGCUCAAGGGAUCUAUGCACAGGGAUUGACAGGGCUGACGCUUAGAAUACCAGCCUUCUAACACCCAGGUUUGGCCUGCCGGUCCUGAGAGAACCCUGUAUCCAUCUUGACCACAGAGCUGAUCUAAGGUGGCAUUCUAGACAUGACUGAGUCAGGAACCGGUCUCGAAAUAGGUUGCAAGUGGUCCCUGGGUCUCUCCCUCCACCUCCAAAACUAAACAUGUUCCAGGAGUUAGUGGUGCCCUAGGGGUGGUAUAUCCAGUGACAUUUUGGACAUGGCUGACCUGCUGGCAUGGCCUCGUUGGAGCUUGUGCACCUGAGUCAUACCAGCUGUUGCUGGUGAGCUGGCUGCGUUGGUAAGAGAAUUUCCCUUCCUUUUCUUUUUUAGAACACAAGUCGUGCUUUCAUUUUAAUAGAAUAUCAACCAUUCAGCCUUGUCAUGAUUUAAAAUGAAUGUGGCUAGGCUUGCCUUGGAAUAUGUGUGUAGAAUAACCUAGUUGACAAGGAAUCAUGAAGUUCUCAUUGCGCCUGAUGUUCUCCCAUCGUUCGGAGACCCAUUUUGGUUAAUUUGUUUCUCUGUAUAGUUUCUGGUGGGAAAAAUGCAUUGCUUUGCUACUAAAAUUAUCUUGAUUGAAAUAUCGUAGACUUUGUCAUUUUCCAGUGGCUCAAGAGGUUAUUUCCCAAGUGUUUAAUUUUUUUAAGUACAGUGCAUAUUAAUUUAACUGCUACCUUCUGACAUUCGUCAUUCCUUGAAAAAGUAUCGACUGCAGACAUCGAACGGAUUUGUAUUUUCCAUUCAAUGUGGAGUUUAUUUAACUUUGAAGAUAUCGUGCAGAUUUGAUAAAGAGGAGGUUUUUAAAAACGUGUACCAUUUAUUGAUUUGCUAAAUAUAAUUUUCACAUUUUUCUUUAAAGUAUUCUACAAUAUAUCUUUCAGAAGGAAACACUUAAAGACUAAUGCAAUCUACAGGAACUGUUCAAUCAGAAAUAAUGAGUGGAGAGGUCAGUUGUCAAGAACAUAUUGUUUGAAAUACUUACAGUUAAGGGUUUCCAGUCUUUGAGGUAAAAAGUUCUGCCAUGAAAAAUAUGGACUGCCUUGGGCUCCUGAAUUCUGUACAGCAUGUCACGAUUUUCGCUCCUGGGCUAAAGAUAGAAAGUAAAAUAAAAUGUUCUUUGUCCAUUUAGUUAUCCUUGACUCCAUGAAAUUCUCCAAAGUAAUUACUGGUGACCACAAUACCACCUACCAGCAAGAACAGCAUUGACCCGGUGCCAGCUGCCUUAUUGCUGACCACAGCCGCUCUUGACUAGAGCAGAUGUUUCUCCUUUUGCCUUGCCAGUAAAAUUUUAUUGAGCAGUUUUGCAAAUAGAGAGCAGUAUACUCUGCCUGGUGAGCAGCCAGAGCUCUUAGCCACCUUGUCCAAUGAGGUUCGAUUUCUGCCGUCUGCCAUGAGGCCCUCACUCCUUGGGUCCGUGCAUCUCACCUCCCAGGCCUCUGGACUCGUAAACUGCAGUGCUCUUGGGUUUGCCUGCCUCCCCAUCCACCCAUGUAAUCUUCCCAAAGAAAAUAAUGUUGGAAGAGCAACCACACUUGUGGUUGCAACUUGCUGCUUUAAAGGGCUGUCACAUUAGAAUCUUGCUCUUACGAGUUGUGGGUUUGCAAAAAGGAGUUAGGGUACUUUGUUGGGAUGUUUUGUUAGGAUGCUUUGCUGCAUUUUUCCACAUCUCUUUGGUUUGGAUGUUGACUUGGAAAUCUCUUUCGAAUUAGCUUCUUUUGGAGCGCGUUCUCGAUUCCCAAGCCCAACUUGAAGCCUUUCCCUGUGAAGGCGGCCAAGGAAACUUCCUCUGAUCCCCGCCUCUUUGUAGCUAUCGUGGAUGGCACCUCUUUGAGUCUGAAAAUCGAAGCACUUUAAAGGUCUCGGGGGUUUUUUGGCUUGGUUGUUUUUCCUUUGGAUGGGGUAAUAUAGUUUCUCUCUGUGUUCCUUGUCUGGAGGUAAAGGAAUAGAUUUCUUGAGUUGUGGCCAAUACUGCUUUUUUUUUUUUUUUUUUUUUUUUUAAUGGAACUCUAAGGGACCACCCCCUGCCAUGAUUCCAGCUCAUUUCCCAGGGCCUUUCAAAGAAAUCAACUCCUAAAGAUAAACUGAGAGUCUAACCCCCACCCCAGGGUGGCAUGAAUUCCCACAGAGCCUUGGGCCGGGGGAGGACAGGUAAGAUAUAAGAUCAAAGGGCAAAGGCCAUAUGGUGGGACUUUGCCUGCCUUGUGCUUCCUCGGUGGGAAGUACUGUGACCUGAGUCCCUUGGUGUUCAUUCCAGGAGUGUGUCUUUGUGGGAACUCAUCUAACCAGCUCUGUGGCAGAUGGCCGAUUCUGACAGCCUGAUUUUAAGGUUCCUAACACGUAUGAUACCAGGGCUUCAUUGAUUAUUCUAUUUAGUCCGUAUUAGGAUACGCAGGCCAAGGUGAGUGACUACUUUAGACCUGUAGGUCAAGAAGUUUGAAGCCCUUUUAAUGCCUUAAACCACUUGGAGUUGUUUAAAGUAGCGGCAUGCUCUCAAAUCCUUGUUAUCAUAAAACUUUAUUCUUCUUUGAUCUUAAAAAGAGGGACUUACUUAGAUUAAUGUAUAUUCUUUCCCCUGUUCCUCCAUACAAGGGAAAUUUAUUUUGAAAAUAAGAACCUUGAAAGCAAUGUCUGUACUGCUAGACUGGGUAUUUGGCUCAGGACUGGGGCCUUUCUUUUUUUUUUUAAUGUUCCCAGAGCAGAGCACUCUUUAAACUAGGAUGAGAAAAGUUAAUUUUAAUCCUCCAAAGGCUUAUUUGCUAGCACAAAAGGUCACGAAACACACCCAAAACACUGUACUGCUGAGAUCUUAAGGAGCGAGGUCCCAGCAGCAGAGAGGAACUUGUCUCCCAACCCAGAAUUGUGUCUCUGGCUGAAGACACAGUUUGCUUUAGGAGCACCACUUCCUACUGACACCCCCCAAAUAGAAGGGCCCCCCCUUAACCUGUCUAAGGGGAAACUCCGUUUCACAUCGUUUCAUCUCAGAAGAGAGUUCUUCAGAAGUGGUUGCAAAAUGGUGGUAGAAGACGUUAUUUCCAAGGAGGUCGAAGUAGCUGUUCUCUGUCCAAUCUUUUUAUAAUUAUGACCCCUCAACCUGUGAUCUGUCAAAAGAAAAGAAAGACUGGCCACAUCCAGCCGACAGACCCGUGGAAUCCGAAAACAUGAUGACCCAAUUUUUCAAAGCUUUUGAGCUGAUUUCUUGGGGUAUGCAAAUGUCACCUUCCCCCCCCCCCCCCGAUUAAAAAUCAGAAAUUGCAUGAGGCAGGCUUGAAGAGAAUCCCAAAAUAAGGUACCGAAUAACAGCCGCCAUUGUAGACAUAGGGAAGUCUAGGGAAUGAAUGGCCUUGCUCUUCUGUAGGGAAAAGGUCUUUUCCUUGGGUUUGUUUGGUGGAAGUUUGAGGAACGGUCACCUCUGGGACCCAGGAGAGAGCUUCACCCUGUGGUUGGCUGUGUGCAGUUAGACUUCAGUAUUCCUAAGUUGAUUUAUUGUCCUCAGCCCACAUGUGAAGUAAAAGGUUGUUAAAGGGUAGGGAUGAAAACCCAAUUUAAAAUUUCACUUCUGGCAGUUCCCUUUGUGGCUCAGCAGUUCAUGAACCCAACUAGGAUCCAUGAGGACAUGGGUUCGAUCCUGGCUGUGGUGUAGGUCACAGAUGCAGCUCGGAUCCUGCGUUGCUGUGGCUGUGGCAUAGGCCGACGCCUACAGCUCCGAUUCAUCCCCUAGCCUGGGAACUUCCAUAUGCCACGGGUGUGCCCCCUCCAAAAAAAAAAUUGGUUCUGAUAGAUUUAAAAACACUUGCUGCUUCCCAUUGUGGAUUCUGACAUCUUCUGAAAACAAGGCCUGCUCAGCCAUUAAGAAUUCUCAAUAUAUUGUGCAAGUCUUUGUGAUGGUAAGAGGACUGAGAGCAAAGAAAGGUUUGUUUUUCAUUUAAAAAUUGCUUUAGAAACUAAAGUUGUAACUGAGCACCGCUCUGUACUGUAUCAAGCCAUAAUAUCCAGUGAGUCAUGAAGACAUGAGGGCAACCCUGGAGACAGCACAAGAAACAUUGGAGUUAAUGUUUGAGAUAAGGAAGAUGACUAUCUCUGAAAAGGAACUGAAAUUAAAGUGCAUGGCCUCCCAUUUUUGCAUGACUGAAGGGAAUCCUUUCAGUGAUGCUUCCUUUACCCACCAGUGAUUGGUCGUCCUGUAGGUGGAAGAGGCAGGUGGAGAACCAGACACCAGGCUUCUAAGCCCACUUAGGCCAUGAGACCUGAAGCAAAGUACUGCCCCUCUUGGCUUCAGUCCCUUACCUGACAAUGACUGAUGGACCUCGUCAUCUCCAUGGCCCCUUCUGGUCCAAGGAGCUUGUGAAUCUGGUUUUUGAACAGAUGGAUGAUCCAUUGGAUGAUCCUGAGAAGGUUUUAUCCUUUGUGGCCACCCUGGUGGUGCCUCUUAUCACCAGGAGUACCUUCAUCCCUGGAGCACACAGGAGACCAGGGCCCAGUUUCUGCUGUUUCCUCCUAGCCAGGAAUCCAGAUGGCCACCGUCCCCAUCCCACGGGCUGGCUCCAAGAAACCCUUAGCUCAGGGAGGUCAUUUCAUUUCCUGUGAGCCUGUGAUUCAGGCUUAUAUCACUGCUCCAAGCCCUGGCCCCACUUGUCCAUCUGGAAGGUGGGACAGUCGAGGCUUUAGCCCCUGCAGGCUCUUGUCAAGUUGCAUGGCCUUUCAGGGAUCUGUCAGCCUGCUGACAAGCUGGUGGACAGUCCAAUCCUUUUGUUAACUUCAGGCCUAAUUCUAAUGAAUUCAGGAUUCCUUGUUGAAAAAAAGACUGGACCUUGGUGUGCUCAAGACUCUGCCCUUGAACCCUCUGGGCUGAUGACUGAUAUGUUGGUCUCUUGGGACAGGGCUGUACAGUUGAGCAAAGUAGCAAGAGCUUCAGAUCUCUGUGGGUCAUCUGGCCCCCAUAAAAAGAGCAAGAGCAACUGGGAAAAGGCUAGACCGCUAGGUUCCCAGCUCUACUGGAUUAUGAGACAAAGCCACCCUCUCCAUCUUUGUUUAUAGAACUCGUUUUCAGGAACAAGUGUUUUCUCGUGAGGUGGAGGUUAAGAAGCAGUGUUUAUAAUUGAAGAUCUCAAAUAUGUGAGCCCUCUAUCAAGCUCAAUCUAAAGGAACUUUGCAUGGGUGGCAGUUUAGGAGAAAAAGGGAGAAAAGAAUAAGGGGGGAAAAACCUAAUAAAAAUAGCUGAGAUCACUCAACAGUUAUCAAGAAACAGAUACUAGAGUUUUAUAACACUAAGUACUAAAAGUAUAUGCACUCUUAAAAGGCAAUUAAAACGUAUGCUCUGAAACUAUAAAACAUUUUCUUUUCAUCUGCAACAUAGAGGGCAGAUUACAACACAUUAAUAACGUUUUGUUUAGAGUUCAGUUUCUGAUGGGUUCCAAAUGUAGUCUGUGUAGAUUAACCAGAAAGAGUCCAGUUCCCUUUUUUAAGAGCGCUUGUAAAGGAAAGCAAUGUGGUAAGAUUGUUAUGAAAAGAGAGUGUAUUUAGGAAAUAGCACUUAGCAGGGUCUCUCUGAAUGGCUGCCAGGUCAGGAAGCUGAAGUGCAAGGCUUGGCCCUUGUUCAGCCCCCCCGGUUCCAGCUCCUUGACCACACAGUACGUCAGGCACAUGUCACAGGCCAGCCAGGAAGACUCGGCCCCGCCCCUGGGCCAGCUUGGCACGGCCGCUUUCACAUAACCCAGGGCUCCAGAGGGGCCGGAGGCAGGCAUUCCAGGGCCACGGGAACAUGCAAUUUUUUAAAAUAGAAAUGAAGACCUUAAGGGGGGGAAAAAAAAAAAAGCCUGGGAAUCACACAGUCGCUGAGUCCUUAUGGACCAUGGUCCCGCAUGGAGAGUGUCAGAGCUGAAAAGGGCCUUCGGGGUUAUCUCAUCCUCCUCUGCCCUCAUCUUAGAGACAAGGAAAUUGACUUGCCUUAGUGGCAGUGGCAGGGCCCCUGUGGGAUCCGUCUCCCCCCGUUCUCCGUUCACUGAACCCACUGGCUCCACCUCAGUGGGCCACAUCUUCUGCCUUGAGAGCUCUGUCCUGUCCUGUCGCUGUGCCGUGGUGGGGGAGGCCCUGUGUGGACCCCCUCCCCCUUGGGUCUUGGCUCUCCAACCAUCUGUCGCUCUCUCCUGCCGCUUGCCUAACCACUCUGUGCCUCAGCCUCAGUUUCUUCAUCUGCAGAAUGGAGACAGUCUCAGGGUUACAUCCUCGCAGAGCAGUUAUAAGGGUUCACUGAAUAAAUGGGUGUGACAUUUGUAGGGCCUGGCCCUUAAUAAGAGCUCAAUCACCUUAGCUAUUGUCAUCAUUAGUCAUGGCCUUUCUUGGCCUUGGUAGUAUCCCUGCGAUGUCAUGAUUGUCAUUGCUCUUGUUUCCACGGUGGCCGCAUCACAGUCACCCUCAGGAAUUUGGGCUGGGGGUGGGCUGGGGAGGGGCACUUGCUCUAGGAGGUUGCCCCGCCCAGGGUUGUGGGGCAGAGUCAAGUCACCAGCGCCUCUCGGCUAGGUCAUGAAGUCCUUCCAUGAGAUUCCACCUGAGCAGAGGGAUUUAGAAGUAUUGUGGGGUUUUGAGGGCUUUUGUUUGGUUUUAACUGUUGUUGUUUUUGCAUUUCUAACUUCACUCUGUAAUUUUCGUUGAAAGGGACUCUAGAGAUGAUUGAGUGAUCGUUUCACAUGUGGGAAAACUGGGGCUCAGCGAGAUAACGUCAUUUGCCUUAUGCUUUGCUACCCAGACUUCGCGGUUGCCUGGAGCUCUUGCCUUACUUGUACAGAAACGGAAAACCGGAGGAGAAAGAGCCUUAGGAUAAUACCCACAAGACCUCAGUCCUUUAGCCUUUCCUCUACAUCAGGCCCAGGGGACCCUGUUAAACCCCGGUUGUGACCUUCUUCCUUAGUCGACACAGAGGUGACCCUAAAGAAAAAUUCAGGAGAGCCGACCCCUUCGUUGGGUAUUAGUAGAGAACAAUCCCUGUGAAAAUUAAGUGGAUGUUUGUUUUUUCAUUUAAAACCUUGAAAAGACUUAACCCUGUCAGGCUGCUACUGUCUCACCCAAAGCAGUGUCUUUUGGCGCCUCACAGGGUACCUGGGAUUGAAUCCGAGCCACAGCUGCGACCUGCAGCAACACUGGAUCCUUUAACCCACUGUGCUGGGCCAGAGAUCGAACCUGCACCUCCGCAGUGACCAGAGCCCCUGUAGUCGGAUUCUUAACCCACUGGACCAUAGCGGGAACUCCAACAAGCACAUGUCUUUGCUUAAUAGAAGGCUUACUAGUUUAGAAAGUAAAAUUACUUUCUCGGUUUAUGCACAAUUGUCUUUUCCUUGAGCUUUUCUCUCUCCUUUGUCCUGGUGUCAAAUCGGUCUUCCUGUUUUUCUAAAUGUCUGAUCAAGAAGUUGGUGAGAUUAGAAAAUCUAUCCUGCUUUAAAUAGAGAAGGAUAGUAUUUGGUUACUGGAAACGUUUUGCGUCCUUACCAACAGCAAUACUACAACAACAUAUGUCAUUAUUUACCUAGAAAAGUCAACUAUAAAUUCAUUCCAACCUUCAAUAAAAAUGUUUUAGAGGGUUCCCAUCAUGGCUCAGUGGAAACAAAUCUGACUAGCGUCCAUGAGGAUGCAGGUUCAAUCCCCGGUCUCACUCAGUGGAUUACUAAUUUGACCCCUAGCCUGGGAACCUCCAUGUGCCGUGAGUGCAGCCUUAACGAGACCAAAAUAAAUUUUUUUUAGCUUUUUCCUUUUCAGAUUUUAAGCUAUAGUAUCACCUGGCCACCUUAAAACAGCCCCGUUGUGUGGUCUCCCUCUCUCUUUCCUGGUGCCUUCCUCUUUGGGACUCUUUUUAGUUUCAUUAAUCUAAAUUUGUUCCGAAGGCACUGAAACAGCUUUUCUAAGAGCCAUAAUUGUCACAGAAAGAGCACAAAUGCCUUAUUGAAGUUUCAGAUUUUGCUCUGUUUGGAGCUCCCGGAGAUUGGAACAGUUCCUCCAUCCUCGUCUGUGCUCCAGAGUUGAAGGAAAAUAUCAAAGCUUUCGCUUCUCUGAUGCUUGUCAAUCAUACCCUUCCCAGCAGCUAAUCACGUUCCUAGUUUUCCAAAGAGAAAAAUCAAAUGUCCAGAGGUAACUAGUCCCCUCAAGGUCACCUGAAAAGCUAGGAAGAGAGCUUAGAUGAGUGUGCCUGGGUUUCUUUGCCUCCCAAAGACCUCCAGGAUACACUGUCUGUAGUUUCCACUUUCACUUUCCUACAUAUUUCUUAGUUUGAUGGUGUAUGGGAAGCAUGGUGGGAAACUGGCGAUGACUUCAGUGGUCAGAGACUUUGAAUAUCAUCCUGGCCCAUAAGGCGUCCCGUCAAUCUCUGGAACCCCAGUGGGCACCUCCUCCCAUGCUUCGGUGUUAGUGUGGAAUCAGAGUGAACUUGGCCUCGUGCCUCUAUCUUGGGAGUUGGUUUGAGGGCUGAGCGUAUGUAUGGAGUUCAGCUUUUCCAUCAGGACACUCAUUUAGGGGAAGACUUUUGUACUUUUUUAAAGCUUGAUCACCCUGCAUGUCAGGUUUGGGGACUAAAGUUUUCCUGUUGAGCGGCUCCUGUGGAGGACCUUAUCACAGCUUUCUUUUCCCUGAGCUAUUUGUAGUAAAGUACUGGCCAUUUGUUUAUGUGUUCAGUGACUAACACCUAAUAAAAUAAUAAGUGGAUGGGGUUUGUUUGACUCUAAGGAAUUUGGGGGCCUUGCUUAUUUUCUUGCCAAGAUACCCUGUGCAACUUUGCUCCUACAUUUAGGGAUGGGAGAUGCCACACUAGGCAUUUUCCCCUGAAAAUGGAGUCUCAUCAAACCAAAAGAGUAUUUUCUGAAACCCCAAGUUACCACUAUAUCAUAUUUAUUUUCUGACUUUGAUCUUUACUUUUUAUAGUUAAGGAAACAUUUCCCACCCAUUCUCAACCUCUCCUGGUAGUCAUAGGAUAAAUGGGCUAAUGGCUCAUUACAUAAUUGAGGCUUCCUUUUUUAACAUGAAAGUGCUAUGUUUCAGAGUGCUUUCAAAGUAACCCUGAGCUGGACCAGACUACAUGGGGUCAUUAAACCUUCCUUCUUCAAGCCAAGAGGUACUUUUCAUUUUUGGUGAUUUAAAAAAAUGGAAUGUCUUUGUCCAUGGAGUCCUGUGCAUUUAAGGUUGAUGCCCACUUCUUGCCUUUAAUCAAAACCAUUGAGUCUGGGGAGUUGCCGUUGUGGCUCAGUGGUAAUGAAUCCGACUAGUAUCCAUGAGAAUGCAGGUUCAAUCUCUGGCCUCGCUCAGUGGGUUAAGGAUCCGGCAUUGCUGUGAGUUGUGGUGUGGAUUGCAGACGUGGCUCAGAUCUGGCAAGGCUGUGGCUGUGGUGUAGGGCAGCAGCUAUGGCUCUGAUUCUAUCCCUAGCCUCCUGGGAACCUCCAUAUGCCACAGGUGUGGCUCUGAAAAAGCAGAAACAAACAAACCAUCCAACCUUGAGUCUGGGGCCCGAAGAGAGAUGAGUUGGCUACAUAGGCGAACAAGAGACAGAGCCACACAAAAAUAACCAAUACAAAAGGAGUCUCAUGGUUUUAGGAUUGUUUGUGUCCUAUGGCACAGGAACCCAAAGUUAUUUCUUCAGCCUUAACCUCAACAUCUACAGAUGGUCUUUGAGCAACCUGCAAGCGAAGGGUGGGCCUUCUUACUGCACGUGUAUAUGCAUCUGAGCAGUUUCUGGGGGUGAAAUCAAAUUCUGUUUAGAUAUUUUCUAAACCAAAUCAAGACAUUUCCAUUUUUAAAAAAUGUACAUUAUGCUUUAUACUUAUAGAGCAUUUCUACCCACUUUAUAUCCUUUAAAAUCUAAACCAUUGAGGAAUUCCAAUCAAGGCUCAGCAGUUAACAAACCCAACUAGUAUCCAUGAGGAUGUGGGUUCGAUCCCUGGCCUCCGUCAGUGGGCUAAGGCUCUAGUGUUGCUGUGACUGUGGUAUAGGCCGGCAGCUGCAGCUCCAAUUUGACCCCAGCCUGGGAAUGUCCAUAUGCCAGAGUGUGGCCCUAAAAAGACAAAAGACAAAAAAA
This is a non-coding RNA of Sus scrofa (pig), 17694 nucleotides long. The record is from RefSeq and is a predicted model, not a curated record. NCBI's taxonomy places the organism in Eukaryota, Metazoa, Chordata, Mammalia, Artiodactyla, Suidae.